This is a long non-coding RNA of Eriocheir sinensis (Chinese mitten crab), 4645 nucleotides long. RefSeq lists it as uncharacterized. The record is from RefSeq and is a predicted model, not a curated record. The transcript has 3 exons. NCBI's taxonomy places the organism in Eukaryota, Metazoa, Arthropoda, Malacostraca, Decapoda, Varunidae.
GAAGCUCAGUUUUUCGGCAAGAGUUAGUUUCGUAUGAGUGUGUUUCGUCUGAAGUGUUUCGUUGAGGGGUGUGUGUGUUUCAUGAAGCUCAGUUUUUCGGCAAGAGUUAGUUUUGUAUGAGUGUGUUCCGUCUGAAGUGUUUCGUUGAGGGGUUGUGUGUUUCGCAAAGGUUGUGUUUUUUUUGCAAGAGUUAGUUUCGUCCAAGUGUGAGGAAGAAGAAGAGGAGGAAGAGGAGGAGGAGGAGGAUUUCUCUUCUUAAUAUCCAUCUUCUUCCUCUUCCCUUCCCUCCUCCUCCUCCUCCUCUUCUUCUUCUUCCUCCUCUUCUUCUUCUUCUUUUUCUCAUAUAUUCCUCUCUUCAUCUUCCCAUCUUCCUCCUCCUCCUCCUCUUCCUUCUUCUUCUUUCAUCAUUUCUCUCCCUCCUAUCUCCUCCUCUUCUUCCUCCUUCCCUUCCCUAUCCUCCCUUCCUUCUCCAUCUCUUGUCUCAUGUCUUUCCUCCUCUUCCUCUUCCUUCUUCUUCCUUCAUUAUUUUUCUCCCUCCCCUCUCCUCCUCCUCUUCAUCUUCUUCCUCCUUCCCUUCCCUAUCCUCCCUUCUUUCCUCUCUCCAUCUCUUGUCUCAUGUCUUUCCUCCUCCUCCUCCUCUUCCUUCUUCUUCUUUCAUCAUUUCUCUCCCUCCUAUCUCCUCCUCCUCUUCCUCCUCCUUCCCUUCCCUAUCCUCCCUUCCUUCCUCUCUCAUGUCCUUCCUCCUCCUCCUCCUCCUCCUCCUCCUCCUCAGUCAUUCAUAAACCCCAGAACAUAUCCGCAUUGCUCUCUAAGUACACACAACAUGACAUUCAAGCACUCACGUAACAGACACUCCAGCGUUCCCUAUUAACCAGGUACAAGUUAAUUCAUCUAUACAAACCCUUAUGUAUAUAUAUUGUGAGUUACGUGUCAUCUAUAACCACUCCCGUUUUCUCUGUAUUUAAUGGUGGACUAUGAUUUUUUUCAGAGUUAGUUUAGACCUCAAUCCAGAACUAAUGCUUUAUAUCCCGGUUAAUUAUGGAGUAUUAGUCGUGUGAGAAGCGUUACGUCUGUAGUAUAGGCGAUGUAAUUAUUUAUGUAUUGACGCAGCGAUGUGUGUGUGCGUGUGUGUGUGUGUGUGUGAUUUCGUAUGUGUACACAGAGGAAUGUUACGAUUAUGUUAUGUAUAUUAUUAUUAUUAUUAUUAUUAUUAUUAUUAUUAUUUUGCUUUCUUGUGAUCUGUGUGUGUGUGUGUGUGUGUGUGUGUGUGUGUGUGUGUGUGUGUGUGUGAUUUCGUAUGUGUACACAGAGGAAUGUUACGAUUAUGUUAUGUAUAUUAUUAUUAUUAUUAUUAUUUUGCUUUCUUGUGAUCUGUGUGUCUGUGUGUGUGUGUGUGUGUGUGUGUGUGUGUGUGUGUGUGUGUGUUUGUGUGUGUCCAGUCAACCAUCGUACAAUCCGCUAUACAAAUUCCAAACACACUUAUGUAAACCGAAUUCCUGUUUUCUAUAAUUACCGUAAAAAAUUGAAUUACCAAAAAAAAAAAAAUUCACAGUUGCUAUAAUUACCAUAAAAAAGUUAAUUAUAAAAAAAAUCACUAUAAUUACCAUAAAAAAGUUAAUUACCAUAUAUAAACAAAUUCACACUUGCUAUAAUUACCAUAAAAAGCUUAAUUACCAAAACAAAACAAAUUCACACUUGCUAUAAUUACCAUAAAAAAGUUAAUUAUCAUAUAUAGACAAAUUCACAGUUGCUAUAAUUACCAUAAAAAAGUUAAUUAUCAUAUAUAGACAAAUUCACAGUUGCUAUAAUUACCAUAAAAAGCUUGAUUACCAUAUAUAAACAAAUUCACGCUUUCUAUAAUUACCAUAAAAAUCUUAAUUACUAUAUAGACAAAUUCACACUUGCUAUAAUUACCAUAAAAAAAUUAAUUACCAAAAAAAAAAAAAUUCACGCUUUCUAUAAUUACCAUAAAAAACUUAAUUACCAUAUAUAAACAAAUUCACACUUUCUAUAAUUACCAUAAAAAACUUAAUUACCAAAAAAAAACAUUCGCUCUCUAUAAUUACCGUAAAAAACUCAAUUAAUUUCUAAAACUUAAGAAUAUACAUAGACUUUUUAACACUCUGUAUGUCUGUUUACCUUAAGGCGCCGGAGUAUGGAUGUCGCGAGCUUGUACAGGGAGGAAAAAAAGUCGUGUCGCACUGCCAGUCUUGCUAAAGGGGACCAAGGCGGGAGAGAGAGAGAGAGAGAGAGAGAGAGAGAGAGAGAGAUUUACUUUCUAUGAUUUACUUGAUCUGAUUAUUAUUAUUAUUAUUAUUAUUAUUAUUAUUAUUAUUAUUAUUUCCAUUAAGUUGACAUUAUAAUCUUCCUCCUCUUCCUCCUCCUCCUCUUCCUCACCCCCCUCCUUCUCCUCCUCCUCUUCCUCACCCCCCUCCUUCUCCUCCUCCUCUUCCUCACCCCCCUCCUUCUCCUCCUCCUCUUCCUCACCCCCCUCCUUCUCCUCCUCCUCUUCUUCCUUCCUCCUCCUCCUUCCUAAGAUAGAUACAUAGAUAUAGAUAUUUUUUGGGUGUUAUUGUAUAGAAAUAAGAUUAAAAAUUGUGACGAUUUUAAUAGAUGCACGAUAGUUCUCUCUCUCUCUCUCUCUGAUGAUAUGUAAAAGCUGUGAUGAGGAAUGAGAAAAAAUAUAAUAAUAAUAAUAAUAAUAAUAAUAAUGAUUGCUAAGGUGUGUAAUUAUGUAUGUUUUAUUAUCCAAAGUAUGUGUGUGUGUGUGUGUGUGUGUGUGUGUUCUCAAUCAUCCGUCUCAACUAAUUAUUUUCUUUACAGGGCCGAGUCAAAUUAACCCCGUCCAUUGCAAUCCCUUGAUCACAUCCUCCCUCGCCUCGCUGCACACGCCUCUCUACUCAAGCUCAUCCCUAUACCGUCCAAAUCCCAUACGCAGGACUUAACCAGCAUCUUCACUUCACCAUUGUAGAGCGAGUGAGGCAACGCGACCCUUCUCAGAGACACGGCAGUCCAGUCCUCAUUGACAGAGCGGCUUGGUCGGAUAGAUUUUGAUCGCCGAUAGAGUGGAGUGGGUCUGUCGGCACCCUGGUAUGGGACGCCUUUGGUUCAGGCCCGUGCAAGGAAGGGAGCAAUCUUUGGAGUGAGCCUUCUCCCAUUCCCUCCACACACACACACACACACACACAGGAUUAGUUAAACAAGCAUAUAAGCAAAUCUUUUUAUUAUUGGUAUUGUUAUAAGCACUGGGUAGGUCUCUCUCUCUCUCUCUCUCUCUCUCUCUCUCUCUCUCUCUCUCUCUCUAAUGUGCAUGUGUGUGAGAGAGAAUCACCACAGGAUAUUAAGUACAUAAGCAAACACACACACACACACACACACACACUUACAAUAUUCCUAUUCAGAUAUUAUAAAAAAAAACAUGUUUGUGUGACGUACAGCAAUCAUAAUAGGGAAGAAAAAUUACAGUAUAUUCUCCUUAACAAAUUUGAGUUUAGUUAAUAAUAAUGUUUUUUUUCUUUCCAGUCAAAUACAAACAGAUGAGAUUUGUAUUCAGAAAGGAGAGAGAGAGAGAGAGAGAGAUUGAAAGAAAGCAAAAAAACACACACACACACACACACACACACACACACACACACACACACACACGUUUUCAUAAGUUAACAAUAAUUCAAGUUCGCUAUUUUUUUCUUUUCCUUCAGUAAGCUGCAAAUGAUUCCUUGGUAAGCUUUUUUUUAGUAAUACAUAUUUUUCAAGCUUGUCUAUAUUUCCUUCCUUCCUUCCUCUCUCUCUCUCUCUCUCUCUCUCUCUCUCUGAAGCUGCAAGAUUGAUACUAAGCUCAUAAACUCAAACUUUGCAACACACACACACACACACACACACACACAGCAACAAGCAAAAUUACGGUUUACAUGACGUGUGCGCACCGGAAACUGAGUAGAGAGCGUACACACACACACACACACACACACACACACACACACACACGAGAUAGGCACAUGACAAUAUAUGAACUUAAUCUUCUUCUUCCUUCUCCUUCUUCUUUUCUUUCUUCAAACUUGCAUGCGUGGAGGGAUGACUUGACUGACGGACUGGCGGAUUAAGACUAGGAGACUGGUUGAGGUGUGGGGGGGGUGCUGGGGAGGAGAGGAGAGGAGGAGGAGGAGAAGAGGAGGAAGGGGAGAGGCAGAAGGGACCCAGGAGUUCAAGGUAUAAGGAGGUGUUGGCAAUACUGCAAGGAAAGGAGAAGGUGGUUUGACAAGGAGUGUUUCGUGGGACCAUUACCAGCGGACUCGUGUCGUCAAAUUGUGUUCCGAUGAUGAGGGGAGAGGAAGAAGGGAAGAGAGAGGUAGAAGGAAAGAAGGGAAGGAAGGAAAAAAUGAGAGAGAAGGGAAGGAAGGAAGAAGGGAAGAGAGAGGUAGAAGGAAAGAAGGGAAGGAAGGAAAAAAUGAGAGAGAAGGGAAGGAAGGAAGGAAGGAGAGAGAGAGAGAGAGAGAGAGAAACAAAGAAGGGAAGGAAGGAAAAAAUGAGAGAAGGGAAGGAAGGAAGGAAGGAAAGAGAGAGACAGAAAGAAAAGGAGAGAAAAGACUGAAAUUGAGAGAGAGAGAGAGAGAGAGAGAGAGAGAGAGAGAGAGAGAGAGAGAGAGAG